Molecule: long non-coding RNA, 3221 nt
Filed under: Equus caballus (horse)
Lineage: Eukaryota; Metazoa; Chordata; Mammalia; Perissodactyla; Equidae
Description: lncRNA (ENSECAG00000052090.1)
Source: RNAcentral
CUGAGCCUUCUUCUGUGUUGGCAGCCUUCCCCAAACGUUAGCAAAGAUGACUGAGAGCAGCACAAGACUCAAGUUCUACAGCAUAGGAGCCCAGAAGAAAGAGCAUCUCUUUCCUGAUAAUUCUAGAAAUAGCGCUGAUCUCAUUGACAAACUUUCAGUCAUAUGCUCAACCUUGAAGCGAUCACGGUGGGCAGGGAGAAGGAAUCUUCUCAUUUGUCGGGCCAAGGUUACAUGCAUCCUUCUGGAAGGGCAAGUCAUGUCUAAGCCAGUUGGACUGAAGAUAAGCGAGAUUUGUUCUCCAAGAGUGAUGUUAUACAACGUUAGCUUUGGCGUCAGUGAAGGAAUUCUAGACAGGCAAAAAGCAACAGGAGCACUUGUCUAGUUCCUUCUCGAUCAUCCCUUUACCUAGAGCAGAGGUUAGUAAAUUUUGGUAUACAUAAGAAUCCCCUGGGAAAUUUAUUGAAAAUACUGAUUUCAGGGCCUUACUCCACGUUUGCGAUUCUGAGUCCACGUGUUCAGGCGUUGCUCAGAAAUUUGCCCUUGCUGCAAACACUAGACACAGGUGGCCCAGGUGCCAUAUUUUGAGAAACUAGGGCAGUAGGAUAAAGACACUUCUAGCAGUUCUCAGUCUUUGCUCUAUAUCAAAAUUGCCCACCAAAUCAACAUUUGCAGGCGUGAGGCUGGCAACGUCUCCCUUGACAUUGAUCCUCACGUGUUUCCGAUGUGCCCUAAAGCAGCACUUCUCGACAUCUACGGUGUAUAUGAAUCAGCUGGGGAUCGUCUUAGCUGCAGAUUCUGAUUCAGUAUGUUUAAGAUAGAGCCUGAGAUUCGGCGUUUCUAACGUGGUCUCAGGAGCUGCUGCUGUUUCUUGUCGGUGGACUAUUCUUUGAGCAACAAGAUGCCAAAGGCUGAGAACCACCUGUGUAUUUGAUUUGCAUAUUUUAAGGCUGUGUCCUUCAGCAUCUACUGGUCUGCCGGGCCAGCAUGAAAGGACCUUCUUUCUGAUAUGAGACACAGAGAUGCAUAACUUGUCCAUGGUCACACAUCUGAGUGGAAAGCUGGGAUUGGAACCGAAGAAGGUGCUCGAGUCUGAGCUCUUACCUGCUACAGACGGCUGCCCCUGACAGAAGAGAAGAAGGCUGAGGACAGAUCCGAGGGAGCUGGUCAACGCCCAGGGGGAAAGAGGAGGAAAAGGAGCAGUCUACCCCACAGUGACUUCUCCUCUUACUUCUCACCUCCGGCAGUGCUUUCUGACUUCACACCUCCUCUCUGUGAAGACAGUCCUCUCAUGAAGAGGGACAGUCGCUGGAGGGCAGGCUCCUUAUCUCACAUACUGGCGAGCCACAGGAGCUCAGGAGAUGGUGCUGGUUGAUCGGUUGCUUUGGGCAUAACCCACCUGUCCAUCCCUGUCAAGCAGCUGAGCAUUUUGACUUAUAAAUGUCACUAGUUGUUGAAAGCAAACAACUUUCACCCCAAGCACCCUCUGGUUCUUGGAUUAAGGAGGAGGAAUGUCAACAUUUCAGCCUGCAAAUGCUCUUGGGUUCAGGCAAUUCUCAACAUCAUGCCAGAAAAUUUUAUAACUGUGAAAAAAAAAUUGUGCAUAUGUGCCAACUGACUUGGCACAUUUAGCGGCUCUUUUAAUUAAAAUUCAGAUGGAAAUUUUAGAUUUGUUACUGAAUAAUCGUUGAUAAUUCCAGUGAACAGUUCAUUCUGAAUUGAUCCUAACCUGUAAGAAACGGCCAUUUAUAAAUUACAAAUCACUUUCUUCCCCACCUCUUCCCAUCUCCACGCCACUUUCACUUCUCUACUCUCAUCUCAUUACUGUUGUCUUCUUGCCUCUUGAUUAAGAAGAAAAAGAAAAAAAAGCUUUGUUCGUUAAAUACUGCAUUAUUGUGAGAUGUAUAUUGAAAUUCUGAUGUUCAGGUUUAUAAGUAUAAUCAUAGAAUUGCUGUUUGUCACAUGGAGUCAAUUUGAUUCAACAAACAUCUGAGGAGUGCCGGUGUGUGCCCUGCAGUGUACUAGGAGCUGGAGAGAGGAAGAUCACGCCCGGCCUCAGAACCACAGCCAGAUGAAUGUACGUCUUGAAAUACUACCACCCAAAACAGUGUCCUCCUUCCUGCUAUUACUAAAUGGUGAAUGAAAGCUACAGGCCACAUCCCUUCAGGUCCUAACGCCAUAUGAGUCACCGAAUAAUCAACAGCACGUAUUCGUGGCUCGCUCUCCGCAGCUCCCUCUUCUGUCCUACUCUGCAGGGUGGAGGAGCACUGGUCACUCUGAGGAGACACCUGGCACUGGGAUAACAGCUGAAGGAGUUGGGCCCGAGGACGGGGCUGGACCUGAGAUGUGUCUUCAUGCAUCCGAGGGGCUGGCCUGAGCAAGAGCAGUUAGACCUGAGCUCUGAGGCCUCCUAGGAUCAGACACAGGGCCAACGGGUGAAAGGCUCAAGAAAGUGAUUUCUACUGGUUCUCAGAAGGGAUUUUCUUACCGCCAGUAGAAUCAGCUCCUUGGCAGCCAGUGGGGCCACAGACUUCAUGGACAGGGCACUGACUUUGGAGUUUCUCUGGGAACUACCUUGGUUCCUGGAGAAGACCAGGUGGAAUACUUACACCUCGAAAGGCACAGAGAAAGAAUGCAAGUUCCACCAAGAAGGACUUUUGUUUCCUAAAUCCAGAUCUUUUACAACAUCUGCAAGCCUUUCGAGAUGAAUAAGGAGGUUUGGGGAUUAGUGAAAGGAUGGAUGGGCUUUGAAUUGUUUCUAGAACUACAUUUCUGUUCUUUUAAAGACCAGAUUUGUAAGACAAACACAGUUGUUUUUAAUUACUCAAAGAAUUGGGUUGCAAUCUGAAUGAUAUCAGAGGCCGACCCACCCAUCCAACUACAUUGUCUUCAAUUUGCCUCUUUAUAUCAGGGAGAAGAUCUUCAACUAAGAUGGAAAUCAAGAUUCCUAUGUUCUAGAUUUAGAGCUGUGUGUCUUUGUAAUGUUUUAGUAAAUCCUUCUAUAAAGGCUUCAGAACGUUUUUCUUUCCCUCUAGCUACAUAGGUAUAUUUUAGCUUAAGGGACAGGCCAAAAACAAAAAAUUCCUAUCAAGCUCUGAAUAUCAGCUUGCAAUCUGGCCAACUUCUGACCAUAGAGCUACUUAGAAAAAAAAAAUCCUUUCAAAUAUCUUGUCAGUUUUCAGCUAGAAUAAACAGUAAAUAUUCCUGGCAGUAUUGAAUGACCC